CGCACAUUGCGCCUGCUGGUAUUCCGGUAGGCAUGCCUGUUUGAGCGUCAGCAAAACCUCUCAAUAAUUUAUUAUUGGUCAUGGGUUAGAACUAUACCAUUACGGUGUUCUGCCUUAAACUUGCUGCACGACCGCAUGCUUUUUGCAAGGUUAAUGGAGUUGGUGUUUACAUAUCUUCCAGCACUGAGCAAAACUUGCGGCGUUAAACGCGAUGUUGCUUUGCAACUGAAGUUUGACCUCAAAUCAGACAAGGAUACCCGCUGAACUUAA
RNAcentral lists this unclassified non-coding RNA (270 nucleotides) under Orbiliomycetes sp. Its description in RNAcentral is "partial contains 5.8S ribosomal RNA, internal transcribed spacer 2, and large subunit ribosomal RNA". The record is from RNAcentral. Lineage: Eukaryota; Fungi; Ascomycota; Orbiliomycetes.